ACUGACUUGGAAAACACAGUGUGUGCCUCGUACAAUGCAUGCAGUCUGUGUCCAACAUGAAACUUUUACUGCUUUGUGAAGAGUAUUUUCUAGUCUGGUAGCAUUGUUCCCAUUGGAGGGGCACUCACCAAGUUACUAACUGCAAAAGAGUCAAACUGUAAUUAGCCUGGCUACUUAUAUAUUACUUAAAAAAAAAUCCAGAAGGAUGAAAUUCCCCACCAAAACACAGAUGAAACCCUGAAAUAUUUCAACUUCAAAUGAAUAUGAGUCUCUCCCUUCUACUUUCCAAGAAAGGAUCCAUGCUUAACAGCUACUAAUGGAGCAAAGCAGUUAUUUAGAAGCCCUCAACAUUUGCCUGGGAAAAAAUGAAGAAAAUAAAAAUAGACAUUUUCUGUCACUUCCAUAGGUAAACAUCCCUAGUUGAAUUUCAAAUGUUUGAACUGUAUAUUUCAUAUGAAGUACUUGAUGAUGAUAUGUAUGACAUUUUUAUAAUAAAGCAU
This is a long non-coding RNA of Protobothrops mucrosquamatus (brown spotted pit viper), 500 nucleotides long. RefSeq lists it as uncharacterized. NCBI's taxonomy places the organism in Eukaryota, Metazoa, Chordata, Lepidosauria, Squamata, Viperidae. The record is from RefSeq and is a predicted model, not a curated record. The transcript is spliced from 3 exons.